GUUGGAAACUAAGAAUGGUAGUCGAGGACGCAUCGCGCUUGUCACAAAAAAAAACAUCUUAAAAAUGAGGCAAACAACACACUAUUACCAGAAAAUGUUGCCCUUUCCUGAAAGAUGUCUUGAUCGCCGAUUCACACAGAUGAGUGCGUCACUCCUUUGCCAAUACUCGAUGCAAAAUGUUCACGAGGACUCGGUCUGGACACAGACCGACGACUUUCAUGGCAAUCCGACUUGACAAUCAAGCUGAAUGAAAAAGACUGCGGAGAUUCAUUCAAAAAUAAAAAGUCAC
Molecule: long non-coding RNA, 289 nt
Organism: Asterias rubens (European starfish)
Lineage: Eukaryota; Metazoa; Echinodermata; Asteroidea; Forcipulatida; Asteriidae
Exons: 3
Source: RefSeq, a predicted model, not a curated record